GAUGAACGCUGGCGGCGUGCCUAAUACAUGCAAGUCGAGCGAACGGACGAGAAGCUUGCUUCUCUGAUGUUAGCGGCGGACGGGUGAGUAACACGUGGAUAACCUACCUAUAAGACUGGGAUAACUUCGGGAAACCGGAGCUAAUACCGGAUAAUAUUUUGAACCGCAUGGUUCAAAAGUGAAAGACGGUCUUGCUGUCACUUAUAGAUGGAUCCGCGCUGCAUUAGCUAGUUGGUAAGGUAACGGCUUACCAAGGCAACGAUGCAUAGCCGACCUGAGAGGGUGAUCGGCCACACGGGAACUGAGACACGGUCCAGACUCCUACGGGAGGAAGCAGUAGGGAAUCUUCCGCAAUGGGCGAAAGCCUGACGGAGCAACGCCGCGUGAGUGAUGAAGGUCUUCGGAUCGUAAAACUCUGUUAUUAGGGAAGAACAUAUGUGUAAGUAACUGUGCACAUCUUGACGGUACCUAAUCAGAAAGCCACGGCUAACUACGUG
Molecule: ribosomal RNA, 497 nt
Filed under: uncultured bacterium
Lineage: Bacteria
Description: partial 16S ribosomal RNA
Rfam family: Bacterial small subunit ribosomal RNA
Source: RNAcentral